CAAGUGGUGGAAUUUGUCUUUGGUAUGUUUUCUUCUCUCCCUAAUAUGUACUGUAUAUGAUGUUGCACUAAUUAUCAUGUCUAUUUCAGGUGAAAAAUGGACUUUAAUUUAUCAAGAGUCAACUGCCUGUUAACUCAAAAACAUCAUAAUAUAAAUUUUGUCUUGGUAUUUCAUAAUGAUUUAGGUUAUGAUACAAAAGUCAGAUGUGUAUCUGCUUCAUGAUUGCAUAUUGUCCAUCAGGUUGGAUCUACGUUCUGGAAAUG
RNAcentral lists this unclassified non-coding RNA (263 nucleotides) under Hevea brasiliensis (rubber tree). Lineage: Eukaryota; Viridiplantae; Streptophyta; Magnoliopsida; Malpighiales; Euphorbiaceae. The record is from RNAcentral.